RNAcentral lists this transfer RNA (43 nucleotides) under Bootherium bombifrons. RNAcentral describes it as "partial tRNA-Gly". The record is from RNAcentral. Lineage: Eukaryota; Metazoa; Chordata; Mammalia; Artiodactyla; Bovidae.
GUUCUUUUAGUAUUAAUCAGUACAACUGACUUCCAAUCAGUUA